GAUGAACGCUGGCGGCGUGCCUAAUACAUGCAAGUCGAGCGAACAGACGAGGAGCUUGCUCCUCUGACGUUAGCAGCGGACGGGUGAGUAACACGUGGAUAACCUACCUAUAAGACUGGGAUAACUUCGGGAAACCGGAGCUAAUACCGGAUAAUAUAUUGAACCGCAUGGUUCACUAGUUAAAGACGGUUUUGCUGUCACUUAUAGCUGGAUCCGCGCCGAAUUAGCUAGUUGGUAAGGUAACGGCUUACCAAGGCAACGAUGCUUAGCCGACCUGAGAGGGUGAUCGGACACACUGUAACUGAGACACGGCCCCGACUCCUACGGGAGGCAGCAGUAGGGAAUCUUCCGCAAUGGGCGAAAGCCUGACGGAGCAACGCGGCGUGAGGGAUGAAGGUCUUCUGCUCGGAAAACGAUGUUAUUCGGGAAGUACAAAUGUUUAAGUAACUAUGCUCAUAUUGACGGUACCUAAUCAGAAAGCCACGGCUAACUACGUG
This 497-nucleotide ribosomal RNA is filed under the name uncultured bacterium. RNAcentral's name for it is "partial 16S ribosomal RNA". It matches the Rfam family "Bacterial small subunit ribosomal RNA", at positions 28 to 507 of the family's 1533-position model. The record is from RNAcentral.